GGCGCACGCGGCCACGCGCAGCGCUUCACUUCACUUAAUUACUAACACCUGACCUGCAGUGCAGCAGAAUUCAGAGGUCCAGUUGAGGGCAUCAAGAACACGCAGAUAGCAUAAACCUGUGUCAGCCUGGACAGACUGUAGAUCUGCUACUCAACGCCAAGGCUUUUGUAUGCAUGUCUGACUACUACAGUGUUCUUUAAAGGUUUUCUGGAAGCUCCAUUUGAGGGCAUCAAGGACAUACUGAUGGCCUAAACCAGUGUCAGCCUAGACAGACAGACAUCUAUUGCAGUUCUGCUACACAAGACCAAACUCUCUGCUUUUGUAUGGAUGUCUGACUAGUACAGUGUUCUCUAAAGGUAUAACUGGAGCAAAACAACAGCAUCCGUUACAGUGAAAUUUGUGUUCAUAAAAGAUAGUGAUAUAUGUGUAACAGGUCCAGUACAUUUGUCAUAAAGGUUAAAUCACAGUAAGUACUGUAAAAAUAACUUGUUUGCCUCUGCCACAACAGGUCAUGGUGUGUGCAUACUGCUCGUAGUAAACACACACGCUGAUCUGAUGCGGGAGAGAUAUACGCAAACACAUUUGUAUUUACUGUUUUGUUUUGCCUCACUAAAGUGUUGUUGGAGCUUGGUAUGUUCACAGUUGAAAUCACUGAAGUCACAUGGAACGUUUUGACAAUGUGUUUUGUGCCUUAUCUUGACAAUUGGGACCAUUGCUGUCUGUAGAGGAUG
RNAcentral lists this long non-coding RNA (731 nucleotides) under Danio rerio (zebrafish). RNAcentral's name for it is "si:dkey-161f11.2 (ENSDARG00000101124.3)". The record is from RNAcentral. Lineage: Eukaryota; Metazoa; Chordata; Actinopteri; Cypriniformes; Danionidae.